CGCGGCCUAUCAGCUUGUUGGUGAGGUAAUGGCUCACCAAGGCUUCGACGGGUAGCCGGCCUGAGAGGGCGACCGGCCACACUGGGACUGAGAUACGGCCCAGACUCCUACGGGAGGCAGCAGUGGGGAAUAUUGCACAAUGGGCGCAAGCCUGAUGCAGCAACGCCGCGUGCGGGAUGACGGCCUUCGGGUUGUAAACCGCUUUCAGCAGGGACGAAGCUAACGUGACGGUACCUACAGAAGAAGGACCGGCUAACUACGUGCCAGCAGCCGCGGUGAUACGUAGGGUCCGAGCGUUGUCCGGAAUUAUUGGGCGUAAAGGGCUUGUAGGCGGUCCGUCGCGUCAGGAGUGAAAACUCGGGGCUUAACCCCGAGCCUGCUUUUGAUACGGGCGGACUAGAAGGAUGCAGGGGAGAACGGAAUUCCUGGUGGGGCGGUGGAAUGCGCAGAUAUCAGGAGGAACACCGGUGGCGGAGGCGGUUCUCUGGGCAUCACCUGACGCUGAGAAGCGAAAGCGUGGGGAGCAAACAGGCUUAGAUACCCUGGUAGUCCACGCCGUAAACGGUGGGCACUAGGUGUGGGGGACAUUCCACGUUCUCCGUGCCGAAGCUAACGCAUUAAGUGCCCCGCCUGGGGAGUACGG
Molecule: ribosomal RNA, 643 nt
Filed under: uncultured bacterium
Lineage: Bacteria
Description: bacterial SSU rRNA
Rfam family: Bacterial small subunit ribosomal RNA
Source: RNAcentral